UCUUAAAGACCAACUAAGUUUGUUCUGGGUGUAAGCUUUCAUGUGUACAUGAAAGCUUAUACCCAGAGCAAACUUAAUUGGUCUCUUAAGG
Podarcis lilfordi (Lilford's wall lizard) is the source of this 91-nucleotide non-coding RNA. NCBI's taxonomy places the organism in Eukaryota, Metazoa, Chordata, Lepidosauria, Squamata, Lacertidae. The record is from the annotation of a GenBank genome assembly.